RNAcentral lists this ribosomal RNA (881 nucleotides) under Acrophialophora levis. RNAcentral's name for it is "eukaryotic LSU rRNA". It matches the Rfam family "Eukaryotic large subunit ribosomal RNA", at positions 50 to 965 of the family's 3401-position model. Lineage: Eukaryota; Fungi; Ascomycota; Sordariomycetes; Sordariales; Chaetomiaceae. The record is from RNAcentral.
GCGGAGGAAAAGAAACCAACAGGGAUUGCCCUAGUAACGGCGAGUGAAGCGGCAACAGCUCAAAUUUGAAAUCUGGCUUCGGCCCGAGUUGUAAUUUGCAGAGGAAGCUUUAGGCGCGGCACCUCCUGAGUCCCCUGGAACGGGGCGCCACAGAGGGUGAGAGCCCCGUAUAGUUGGAUGCCUAGCCUGUGUAAAGCUCCUUCGACGAGUCGAGUAGUUUGGGAAUGCUGCUCAAAAUGGGAGGUAAAUUUCUUCUAAAGCUAAAUACCGGCCAGAGACCGAUAGCGCACAAGUAGAGUGAUCGAAAGAUGAAAAGCACUUUGAAAAGAGGGUUAAAUAGCACGUGAAAUUGUUGAAAGGGAAGCGCUUGUGACCAGACUUGCGCCGGGCUGAUCAUCCGGUGUUCUCACCGGUGCACUCUGCCCGGCUCAGGCCAGCAUCGGUUCUCGCGGGGGGAUAAAGGCCCUGGGAACGUAGCUCCUCCGGGAGUGUUAUAGCCCGGGGCGCAAUGCCCUCGCGGGGACCGAGGUUCGCGCUCUGCAAGGAUGCUGGCGUAAUGGUCAUCAGCGACCCGUCUUGAAACACGGACCAAGGAGUCAAGGUUUUGCGCGAGUGUUUGGGUGUAAAACCCGCACGCGUAAUGAAAGUGAACGUAGGUGAGAGCUUCGGCGCAUCAUCGACCGAUCCUGAUGUUCUCGGAUGGAUUUGAGUAGGAGCGUUAAGCCUUGGACCCGAAAGAUGGUGAACUAUGCUUGGAUAGGGUGAAGCCAGAGGAAACUCUGGUGGAGGCUCGCAGCGGUUCUGACGUGCAAAUCGAUCGUCAAAUCUGAGCAUGGGGGCGAAAGACUAAUCGAACCAUCUAGUAGCUGGUUACCGCCGAU